This 690-nucleotide ribosomal RNA is filed under the name uncultured Candida. RNAcentral's name for it is "SSU rRNA". It matches the Rfam family "Eukaryotic small subunit ribosomal RNA", at positions 826 to 1537 of the family's 1831-position model. The record is from RNAcentral. Lineage: Eukaryota; Fungi; Ascomycota; Saccharomycetes; Saccharomycetales.
CGUUAUGGUUCUAUUUUGUCGGUUUCUAGGACCAUCGUAAUGAUUAAUAGGGACGGACGGGGGUAUCAGUAUUCAGUUGUCAGAGGUGAAAUUCUUGGAUUUACUGAAGACUAACUACUGCGAAAGCAUUUACCAAGCACGUUUUCAUUAAUCAAGAACGAAAGUUAGGGGAUCGAAGAUGAUCAGAUACCGUCGUAGUCUUAACCAUAAACUAUGCCGACUAGGGAUCGGGUGUUGUUCUUUUAUUGACGCACUCGGCACCUUACGAGAAAUCAAAGCCUUUGGGUUCUGGGGGGAGUAUGGUCGCAAGGCUGAAACUUAAAGGAAUUGACGGAAGGGCACCACCAGGAGUGGAGCCUGCGGCUUAAUUUGACUCAACACGGGGAAACUCACCAGGUCCAGACACAAUAAGGAUUGACAGAUUGAGAGCUCUUUCUUGAUUUUGUGGGUGGUGGUGCAUGGCCGUUCUUAGUUGGUGGAGUGAUUUGUCUGCUUAAUUGCGAUAACGAACGAGACCUUAACCUACCAAAUAGUGCUGCUAGCUUUUGCUGGUAUAGUCACUUCUUAGAGGGACUAUCGAUUUCAAGCCGAUGGAAGUUUGAGGCAAUAACAGGUCUGUGAUGCCCUUAGACGUUCUGGGCCGCACGCGCGCUACACUGGCGGAGCCAGCGAGUUUAUACCUUGGCCGAG